RNAcentral lists this long non-coding RNA (259 nucleotides) under Elaeis guineensis (African oil palm). Its description in RNAcentral is "long non-coding RNA (EGUI_LNC051143)". The record is from RNAcentral. Lineage: Eukaryota; Viridiplantae; Streptophyta; Magnoliopsida; Arecales; Arecaceae.
UCACCUGUGCCUAUUUGAAUUCACGAGAAAUUAGUUCUCAUGAAUUCUCUCCCAUGCAGAAGCCUUCUCACGCCCCUUCUUUGUGCGCCAUUUGGGUGGAUAAAUAUGGUUGGUUGGCCAUUCAAAUUCAAAUGAAGUUUGAAUUUGAAUGGGCAACAAAUCCCAUGCGCCACCCCUUUCUUUUGUGCGCCACUUAUUCUACACGAGAAAAGGUUUCUCGUGAAAACUCUCCAUGCACAAAGAAGCCCAUGCCCCUCUC